Molecule: ribosomal RNA, 570 nt
Filed under: Porina nitidula
Lineage: Eukaryota; Fungi; Ascomycota; Lecanoromycetes; Ostropales; Porinaceae
Description: eukaryotic LSU rRNA
Rfam family: Eukaryotic large subunit ribosomal RNA
Source: RNAcentral
UGCGAGUGAAGCGGCAACAGCUCAAAUUUGGAAUCCGGCCGCCUUGCGGCCCGAGUUGUAAUUUGCAGAAGGUGCCCCGGGGGCGUGCGCCGGUCCAAGUCCCCUGGAACGGGGCGUCACGGAGGGUGAGAAUCCCGUACGUGGCCGGGUCUGCGCGUCCCCGGGCGGGGCCCUUUCGACGAGUCGAGUUGUUUGGGAAUGCAGCUCCAAAUGGGUGGUAAAUUCCAUCUAAAGCUAAAUACCCGCCGGAGACCGAUAGCGCACAAGUAGCGUGAGCGAAAGAUGAAAAGCACUUUGGAAAGAGAGUCAAACAGCACGUGAAAUUGUUGAAAGGGAAGCGCUUGCGACCAGACUCGCCCGCGGGCGAUCAGCCGCCCCUCGGGGCGGUGCACGCGCCCGCGGCCGGGCCAGCAUCGGUUCGGGCGGUCGGACAAGGGCYCCGGGAAUGUGCCUCCCCCCUCGGGGGGUGGGUUAUAGCCCGGGGUGCCAUGCGGCCCGCCCGGACCGAGGACCGCGCCUCGUGCGAGGAUGCUGGCGUAAUGGUCGUCAGCGACCCGUCUUGAAACACGG